This 54-nucleotide transfer RNA is filed under the name Cavia porcellus (domestic guinea pig). Lineage: Eukaryota; Metazoa; Chordata; Mammalia; Rodentia; Caviidae. The record is from Rfam by way of RNAcentral.
GGGGAUGUAACUCAGUGGUAGAGCACUUGCCUUGCAUGCAAGGUGCCAUAUCCA